AGAGACUCUCAUGUUGGAAAAGUUACUAACAUCAACUCCGUUGAGGGGAAUAUGUAAGAUUUGGGGGGUGCCAAAUUUAAGAAGCAAGAGGGAAUGCCUAACUGAGAAGCUAGGGCAGGAGCUGAGGGGGGGCACUUGAGAAUAACCCACUCAUACUGGGCAUCCUUACAUCUUGAUCAUAACAUUUCUGUAACACUCUAAGUAAGGUCUGUGAAGCUCUUCACAUAAAUUACGUCAUUUGAUCCUUAUACAACCCCCUUAGACCUGAAAAGUUAAAUGAUUCUGCCUGUUUUACACAUGAGACAAAAUAAGGCUCAAAGGAAAGUUGAAUGGCUUGCUCAGGGUCAUAGAAGUAUCGGAGAAAGGGUUGGGGGUGAGGAAUGUGGCACAUCACUGCUUUAGCUGCCAUGUAAAUGGAACUCCGGUGUAUGGAGGUGCUUUCUAACUAGAUCAUAAUUUCAGGAUCUGGGGAGUGGAGCACAAGCUCAGACAGGUUUUCAAGACAGACCCAGUGAUGAAAUAUCUUAUCAGAGCCCCAACUAUGUUGGGAGUUGGCUCUGUAAUGUGAAUUGUUCAUCUACUGUCACUCUCUUAGACUUUCUAUGAAGUCAUAAAGGCAUUACAAUCUUCCUGAUGGAGGGUACCCCCCCAACAAAAUUCCUGCUUCUGGAAGGUGUCUCAGAUGAGGAAAAUGAGGCCCAAAGAGAGUGUCAGAGUUGCCUAGCCAUGAUCUCAGUCCUAAAUGAAUUAAGACUCAAACUCAUGUUUCCUGACAUCUUAGUAGUUUCUAUUCUGUAGGCCAUGUUACCUCUCAUAAUUUUGCCAUCAAACCUACUUUAGCCACAAUUGGCAUGUCCCAACUCCUUUAUCACUCUCCCUUCACCCCAUCUUCCUUCUUCCCCCUGGCCACAAGGGAACACCAGAGGUCUCUGACAUACUCUAGGCAUAUCCACAGUUGUCCUGUAUUAAUCCACACUGGAAAGCAGGAGAGAAAGGAGAUCAAGAUGGCCCUCCAUACACCCCGUCCAGGUGUCCAGGUUAGUGGUGGAGUCAUUCAGCCCAGUCGUGUGCUUAAACUUAAAAUAAAGGUUUUAGGAAGGUGGUGGGAAGUAGGGCUUUCUGUCUUGUCUCUAUAUUUAUUCAGAUGCACAGUAUGGAAGACAAAGGAAAUGGGAUAGAUUAUCAAGAAGUUCCCUAAUUUUGUAAAUUGGGAGGAGAUAAUCUCAGUCCCUUUGAAAUUUGCUGGCCCAGAAUCUCAGAUGGUAGCACUCAGGACCAGAUUCCAGGGCAUUGAGAAGUAAGUGAAGGGGUUUAAUGGGGGAA
This 1323-nucleotide long non-coding RNA is filed under the name Monodelphis domestica (gray short-tailed opossum). RNAcentral describes it as "lncRNA (ENSMODG00000049230.1)". The record is from RNAcentral. Lineage: Eukaryota; Metazoa; Chordata; Mammalia; Didelphimorphia; Didelphidae.